RNAcentral lists this unclassified non-coding RNA (223 nucleotides) under Hevea brasiliensis (rubber tree). Lineage: Eukaryota; Viridiplantae; Streptophyta; Magnoliopsida; Malpighiales; Euphorbiaceae. The record is from RNAcentral.
GGUUAUCAUCUUCAUCUCCAGCUCCAGCUCAAAUUCAAUUCAACAGCCGCUUUCUUUUUGUCCGUCGAAGAAGAAGUAGCAGCAGCUUUGCAACUCACAAAGACAAACCCCACCGAGUCUUAUUCUCCUUGAUCCGACUCACUGAGUCUCAUUUCUCCUCCUCCUGGUCUUUUCUUCCAAUGAGUUGAAAGAGAAAGAGGAUCGCGUAUAGGAUCGCCAUGGC